GGAGCCGACCUUGAAAUACCACCCUUUAAUGUUUGAUGUUCUAACGUGGACCCGUUACCCGGGUUGCGGACAGUGUCUGGUGGGUAGUUUGACUGGGGCGGUCUCCUCCUAAAGAGUAACGGAGGAGCACGAAGGUUGGCUAAUCCUGGUCGGACAUCAGGAGGUUAGUGCAAUGGCAUAAGCCAGCUUGACUGCGAGCGUGACGGCGCGAGCAGGUGCGAAAGCAGGUCAUAGUGAUCCGGUGGUUCUGAAUGGAAGGGCCAUCGCUCAACGGAUAAAAGGUACUCCGGGGAUAACAGGCUGAUACCGCCCAAGAGUUCAUAUCGACGGCGGUGUUUGGCACCUCGAUGUCGGCUCAUCACAUCCUGGGGCUGAAGUAGGUCCCAAGGGUAUGGCUGUUCGCCAUUUAAAGUGGUACGCGAGCUGGGUUUAGAACGUCGUGAGACAGUUCGGUCCCUAUCUGCCGUGGGCGCUGGAGAACUGAGGGGGGCUGCUCCUAGUACGAGAGGACCGGAGUGGACGCAUCACUGGUGUUCGGGUUGUCAUGCCAAUGGCACUGCCCGGUAGCUAAAUGCGGAAGAGAUAAGUGCUGAAAGCAUCUAAGCACGAAACUUGCCCCGA
This 621-nucleotide ribosomal RNA is filed under the name Salmonella enterica. RNAcentral describes it as "partial 23S ribosomal RNA". It matches the Rfam family "Bacterial large subunit ribosomal RNA", at positions 2182 to 2802 of the family's 2925-position model. The record is from RNAcentral. Lineage: Bacteria; Pseudomonadati; Pseudomonadota; Gammaproteobacteria; Enterobacterales; Enterobacteriaceae. RNAcentral also lists the same sequence under 1 other name.